GGAUUGGGAUAUUCCGACUCCUUAAGGGCCUGGCGCACAUAAGGUGUGACCUUUUCAUUCCCGUUGUUAUGGAGGGCCACAUCUGCCAGAGCCUGGAGUCUGCGAAGGCCGGGACCCGGUUCCCCGGCCCACAGUGGGGGUGUGCAAACCCGAGAGAACUGGGUUGCAAAUUCGUGAAGAAUCAGCAUCAUGUUUGGCAGCUGAGUAUUGGAGCCAGGAGCCUGCCAUGAGGUUUUGAGAACAGAGUGCUGUUUUAGAGCUGGCAGCAGCAUCUCAGCCCAAGAGAAGGUAAGCCUUGAGCUGGCCAAUGAUCCCUUCAACCCCAUAGUGGAAUGAAUAAACAGCUGAUCUUGUUAAAACUCGCUUCAAAAAAAAA
RNAcentral lists this long non-coding RNA (376 nucleotides) under Homo sapiens (human). RNAcentral's name for it is "non-protein coding LRRC75A-AS1:94". Lineage: Eukaryota; Metazoa; Chordata; Mammalia; Primates; Hominidae. The record is from RNAcentral.